GAUCUUUAAUUCGUUGAAGUAUUUAAAAGUAAAUAAUUUUGACCGUGAGUCGUGUGCCAAAGAAAUUGUGCUUCAGUUGCAGAAGCAGCUAGGAAGUGAGUCGGAGUAAUUGAAGGCUAUUGAAAAUCCAAAACGAAGAAAUCAAUUGCCACUUGCCGGUGGCGUGUUUCAUUGGGGAGUCGGCCAGACCGAUAAACAUCGUGUAGAUCGUCGGCGGCUGGUAGAUUGUGGAGUGCUAGUGAGAUCGAUCCACGUUCAUUGAAAUCUCGAUCCGUUGCGGUCAGUACCAGGCACGGUAUCCCUGGGUGGACCUAUCGCCUCGUGGUUUCGGACCACUAUAGGUCCAUCUAGUAGAGAGCAUUGGACAUCGAAGGGAAAACUUGGCCCCACGUGAAUCAUACGCUACAAGUGAUUUACACUGCCCGUGGGAUCGUCCAGUAAGUGGAAAGUGAACCAGUGCCAGAGUACCCGCCCCGACUCACAUCGAAAAAAAAUCGGAGGCCCUCCGUAUGGUACGAAACGACCGCCCGCCGCACGUGUAGGCACCUCACAUCAGCAUUCCGCCAACCGCGCGUCUCCAUCCUCGCUCGCCGCCGCUUCACCAGGCGAUCGAGAUCUGUCGACGACAUGAAGCGAUCCUUUCAUCUCACCUAGAUUGCUCAGCCACAAGGGGUGGCCCUAUUCCUCGACGAAAAACCGUUCUCGCAUCCUACGUAGCUGCCCCUCACGGCCGCAGUCACCUUGCGUCGUAUUGAAGACGGAGAGAGAUUUGUCUCGCAUCGACUGGCCCGUCUGAGAUCCGUAUCGACCACCGGCCCUUAACAGGAUCGAUCCACCCACAAUCUGGGAGGGUUAGACGGGUAAUCAAUCAUCGGAAAAAGCCGUAAGUACGCCUACCAAAACAACACCCAUACACGCAAAGCCAACACGAAACUAGUAGGGACACACUAAUUGUAUGAGUAGGGGAAGAAGUAGUGGUUAGAGACUAGGCACGACUCACAGAAACAACACAUUGAAAGGGAGUGACGUCACAUACAGGGACCUGAGUGACCAUCGGCUAGUCGGUACAGUUAGUUAGCGUACACUCCGGGAGAAUGGCCGAUGGUUAUUCAGU
Molecule: long non-coding RNA, 1114 nt
Organism: Aedes albopictus (Asian tiger mosquito)
Lineage: Eukaryota; Metazoa; Arthropoda; Insecta; Diptera; Culicidae
Exons: 3
Source: RefSeq, a predicted model, not a curated record